This 217-nucleotide unclassified non-coding RNA is filed under the name uncultured fungus. RNAcentral describes it as "sequence contains ITS1, 5.8S rRNA gene". The stretch from base 169 to 217 matches the Rfam family "5.8S ribosomal RNA", at positions 1 to 49 of the family's 154-position model. Lineage: Eukaryota; Fungi. The record is from RNAcentral.
UCUCCGUUGGUGAACCAGCGGAGGGAUCAUUACUGAGUUUACAACUCCCAAACCCUUUGUGAACCACCUCGUUGCUUCGGGGGCGACCCUGCCGUUCGCGGCGUGGGGCCCCCGGAGCCCUUCAAACCCUGCGUAACUGAGUCGUCGGAGUUUAAACAAAUUAAACAAAACUUUCAACAACGGAUCUCUUGGUUCGGGCAUCGAUGAAGAACGCAGC